GCCGGGCAUGGUGGCGCAUGCCUGUAAUCCCAGCUACUCAGGAGGCUGAGGCAGGAGAAUCGCUUGAACCCGGGAGGCAGAGGUUGCAGUGAUCCGAGAUCACGCCACUGCACUCCAGCCUGGGCAAUAGAGCGAGACUCCAUCUCAA
RNAcentral lists this non-coding RNA (148 nucleotides) under Gorilla gorilla gorilla (western lowland gorilla). Lineage: Eukaryota; Metazoa; Chordata; Mammalia; Primates; Hominidae. The record is from Rfam by way of RNAcentral.